RNAcentral lists this non-coding RNA (123 nucleotides) under Corynebacterium ciconiae DSM 44920. RNAcentral's name for it is "L31-Corynebacteriaceae ribosomal protein leader". It matches the Rfam family "L31-Corynebacteriaceae ribosomal protein leader". The record is from RNAcentral. Lineage: Bacteria; Bacillati; Actinomycetota; Actinomycetes; Mycobacteriales; Corynebacteriaceae.
ACUCAGGCACGACGCGCGCCAUAAGGGUGGUAACCGUUUUUCGAGCUGAUCGGAAGGUGCCACCUGCGGCCUCGAGUGGCCGCCACGUUGCGCGCGACCGACCUGAAGUUCAACCCUGAGGGA